UCCCUUCUGGCUCAGCUGGUAAAGAAUCCACCUGAAAUGCGGGAGACCUGGGUUCGAAUCCUGGGUUGGGAA
RNAcentral lists this transfer RNA (72 nucleotides) under Ovis aries (sheep). It matches the Rfam family "tRNA". Rfam says of the family: Transfer RNA (tRNA) molecules are approximately 80 nucleotides in length. Their secondary structure includes four short double-helical elements and three loops (D, anti-codon, and T loops). Lineage: Eukaryota; Metazoa; Chordata; Mammalia; Artiodactyla; Bovidae. The record is from Rfam by way of RNAcentral.